Molecule: ribosomal RNA, 234 nt
Filed under: uncultured bacterium
Lineage: Bacteria
Description: partial 16S ribosomal RNA
Rfam family: Bacterial small subunit ribosomal RNA
Source: RNAcentral
CCUUCGGGCUUAGUGGCGCACGGGUGCGUAACGCGUGGGAAUCUGCCCUUCGGUUCGGAACAACAGUUAGAAAUGACUGCUAAUACCGGAUAAUGACGUAAGUCCAAAGAUUUAUCGCCGAAGGAUGAGCCCGCGUAGGAUUAGCUAGUUGGUAAGGUAAAAGCUUACCAAGGCGACGAUCCUUAGCUGGUCUGAGAGGAUGAUCAGCCACAUUGGGACUGAGACACGGCCCAA